UAUUUUCUACAGGGAGUGCUGUUAGGCGCUCCAAUUUACCAUCUUCCCACCGCCCAUCUAGACUUCUUCCGACCGAUCAUUCAUUGGACUUUAGAUCACCACUAGCAGUAGAAGCUGCAACUUCUCAGAGUCAGCCUUUUGUUAUCCCUGUUCCACCUUUGCCCCAAAAUGUGCAGUCAUUUAGGUGGAAUGAAAGCUCUAG
RNAcentral lists this unclassified non-coding RNA (202 nucleotides) under Hevea brasiliensis (rubber tree). The record is from RNAcentral. Lineage: Eukaryota; Viridiplantae; Streptophyta; Magnoliopsida; Malpighiales; Euphorbiaceae.